GACAGAGGUCCCGAGCGUUAGGCGGAAUCACUGGGCUUAAAGCGUGUGUAGGCGGAUUGGUAAGUACCUUGUGAAAUCCCACGGCUUAACCGUGGAACUGCUUGGUAUACUGCUUAUCUUGGGCCACUUAGGGGUUACCGGAACAAACGGUGGAGCGGUGAAAUGCGUAGAUAUCGUUUGGAACGCCAAUGGUGAAAACAGGUUGCUGGGAGUGUGCUGACGCUGAGACACGAAAGCCAGGGGAGCAAACGGG
Molecule: ribosomal RNA, 253 nt
Filed under: uncultured bacterium
Lineage: Bacteria
Description: partial 16S ribosomal RNA
Rfam family: Bacterial small subunit ribosomal RNA
Source: RNAcentral